RNAcentral lists this ribosomal RNA (224 nucleotides) under Acinetobacter baumannii. RNAcentral's name for it is "partial 16S ribosomal RNA". It matches the Rfam family "Bacterial small subunit ribosomal RNA", at positions 87 to 327 of the family's 1533-position model. The record is from RNAcentral. Lineage: Bacteria; Pseudomonadati; Pseudomonadota; Gammaproteobacteria; Moraxellales; Moraxellaceae.
UGUUUCCAGUGGCGGAUGGGUGAGUAACGCGUAAGAACCUGCCCUUGGGAGGGGAACAACAGCUGGAAACGGCUGCUAAUACCCCAUAGGCUGAGGAGCAAAAGGAGGAAUCCGCCCAAGGAGGGACUCGCGUCUGAUUAGUUAGUUGGUGAGGCAAUGGCUUACCAAGGCGACGAUCAGUAGCUGGUCCGAGAGGAUGAUCAGCCACACUGGGACUGAGACAC